CCUACGGGUCGCAGCAGUGGGGAAUAUUGGGCCAUGGGCGCAAGCCUUACCCAGCAAUACCGCGUGAGUGAAUAAGGUCUUCGGAUUGUAAAGCUCUUUUAUCAGGGACGAACAGAUGACGGUACCUGAAAAACAAGCCCCGGCUAACUACGUGCCAGCAGCCGCGGUAAAACGGAGGGGGCGAGCGUUGUCCGGAAUGACUUGGCAGAAAGGGUGAGUAAGCGGCAUACUAAGUUAGAAGUGAAAUACCCAGAGCUUAACUCGGGUGCUGCUUCUAGGAUUGUUGAUCUUGAGUGCGGGAGAGGUUAAUGGAAUUCCUAGUGUAGCGGUGGAAUGCGUAGAUAUUAGGAGGAACACCAGAGGCGAAGGCGAUUAACUGGACCGUAACUGACGCUGAGGCACGAAAGUGUGGGUAGCAAACAGGAUUAGAUACCCUAGUAGUC
Molecule: ribosomal RNA, 443 nt
Filed under: uncultured bacterium
Lineage: Bacteria
Description: partial 16S ribosomal RNA
Rfam family: Bacterial small subunit ribosomal RNA
Source: RNAcentral